GGAGUUGUGGCUCAGUGAUAGAGCACUUGCCUGGCAUGUAUGAGGCACUGGGUUUGAUUCUCAGCACCA
Molecule: transfer RNA, 69 nt
Filed under: Marmota monax (woodchuck)
Lineage: Eukaryota; Metazoa; Chordata; Mammalia; Rodentia; Sciuridae
Also listed under: 1 other name
Rfam family: tRNA
About the family: Transfer RNA (tRNA) molecules are approximately 80 nucleotides in length. Their secondary structure includes four short double-helical elements and three loops (D, anti-codon, and T loops).
Source: Rfam by way of RNAcentral